UUUACCCUUAUUUACCCGACCAGCCCAAACCCGUCCCUUUACCCAGUCCAAACCCACUCAAGAACCAAAUAACACCGUUUUGGUCUCUUAUCAUUUGAGUCGUUGAUCUUACUAGAUCGAAUGGCUUGGAACUAUUUAUUCGACAGUAUAGAAGCCCUUAUCCCCCCUAACUCGUCUCCUUCACUCUUCAUCUCCCAUCUUUAGAGACCGAAUUUAACCCUAGCAUCGCUCUAAAUCUAAGCCAUUGUAGCCGGUGGCGCUACCUCACAUUAGCCCCAAAAUGGCACUACAAACUCUCCUUCACCUCCCCAUCCUAAAUAUUCAUUCCCUUUCCCUCGAAUCAGACCCAAACUUUUCGAAUCUUGGAUCAAAGAUUUGAUUGAAAACCUUAAAUGGUCCAAAUUCCCCCAAAUUAACACCAUAGAAGCCUCAUACCCUCCCUUUUCCCAAUCCAUAACUCUUUUUCCUCGAAUAUUUCUCAAACACGUCGAAUCUUGAAUCUGAGUUCAAGCCCUAAAAAACCUAAAUGCAUAUUCUUGAAUUUGUUGCAUGCAAGGCUAUUUCUCUGAGUUUUCUGAGUUUUUCAAGGCUAACUUAUCACAAAAUAAUGAUGGUCUCUGGUUCUUGAGAAAGGACAAGCGAUUAACAUUACGUUGGGAUAAUUUGGAAUAUCAAAAUCUAUUACGAGUCUAUUUGGUAAGUUUCUGCAUUUAUUUUUAUUUUGUCUUUCUUUUAUGCUGUUUCAUAUAUGUUCUUCUGACCUUCUUCCAUUUUUUCAUUAAGAUUAGUUUUCCUCUGAUGAAUUCGGUGAAUGUCUUUUUAACUUUUGAUUUUAGGUUUUCUUUGUUUGUUUUUGUUAAAAUUUUCGUUAAUUUUGUUGGUUUAUGCAUUCUACCUAUUUAGCUUUUGGUUUUUUAUUUUAGUUUGAUAUCCAGCCCAGUGGAAUUUUUGUGUUAGUUUGGUCGUUUAGUUAAUUAUAGAUCAUUAGUUUGGUUUUACAAAAAAAAAAAGGAAAAACGGUAAUUUAGUUAGUUUUUUUUUGGUUUUGAAAGCAUUCAAGUCAUUAUUUUCUUCUGUUCCUCAUUGAAUUACCAAUUGAAUUCAAGUCAAUGCUGACCCAUGUUCAAAGUGCAACCCAUUCGUUUGGUUUCAGGUCUAUUGGGUCACUUUGACCAUUUGGUUUCCUAAAGUAAAAAGCAGAGGUUCAAAUGUUAAAUUAGGUAAUUUAGGUGAAGGAAUCUCUUAGGAAGCUUUCUAGAAGCUGGGGAUUGAGACUUAGAUGAAAGACUAAUUUUUAAACUAAGGAUUAAACAGCAAAAAAGAAAAUUACACAAGGAUAAAGUUUAUGCUGCCCUAAGCUUGACUAUAAAGGCACUAUUUCUUCACUUACAAGUCAGGGAUUAGAUACUGAAAAAAUCCUGAAAAAACACUGAAACGGCUCAAUCUGGAGAAAACUCUGAAAUAAUAUUAAAAUCCUGAAUUUUCUUCGGAAAAGCAGCUCAAAAUUCUAUCUAGUUUUGGUUUUAUGAUCCUUUUUGUUAGCUAGAACUUUAGAAAAGCUUUAGAUUCCUGCACCUGGGUAAAAUGAUUUGAGUUUUUGGGGAUUUAAAUGCUUGGUUUGAGCUACUUUGACUUUAGUUACUAUUUUAUUGCUGACUCUGGGUUUGUUCUGCUGCAGCUGUCCAUCGAUUCUCCACUUCUUUGUUCCCCUUUAAAUUUUCAGGUACUUUUUCGAACCAUGAUUAGAAAUGAAGCUUGAUUAAGCUGUUGCCUGAGAGACAUAUAAUUCAAGUUGAAGAAAAAAAAUGAUAAAUAUCAUUUUUCUGUUGUUUAAUCACUACUGAAUUUGUCAUAGUUCAUCCAUGUCCUUUCUAGUCUGGCUCACCAUGUUUGUUCCAUUUACUGAUGGUGUAUUCUGUUUUAAGUACUGGAUCUAGAUUUUGUUUGAACGUUGCUUGAUUUGAGAGUGUUCUCAGGAUUUAUUUAUAAAUGAGAACUGUAGCCUUGUAGUUCAAUUCGUGAGUCUGGUUGUUUUUGAAGAUCCUACCCAUCAUUAUAGGUUAAAUAUUCAGUAAAUUAGAUCAUUCAUGGUGUUUGUUAAAAUUAACCUAGGCUUUGAAUUCAUUAAGUACUGAUGUUAUGCUUUGAAUGCAAAAAAUGGCUUCCAAAUGGAUUUUGAGUUUGACAUUUAGAUCUGAGAAUUUUUGGAGUUUGCUUGACUCUUUACAUUUUGUUUUCCUUGGAAAAGUUCGAGUCAAGGAUGCUGGUCUGAAUCAGAAUAUGCUUGAGUUGUAACGAAUGAAUUUGGAAUGUUAAAAAUGGUGAAAUAAUUUGAGUAAGAAUUUGCUAUCAUAUUAGGAAUUGAAUCUUCAUUUUAGAAUAUGUGUUGGCAUCUGAAUGCGUCCUUGUAUCUGUUCUAAUUCAAGAUUUUCAUAGAGAAAAUGUUUCCACCUCAAGCGUUAGUGAUGAAUCGAACCUGGGCUGCUAAGUGUUGCCUAGUUGUGUUGAUGUGCUUGCCAAGAAAUCAACAAUUGGUAAUAGGGACCACUGUUGGCCCAAGCCUUGAAAACUGAAUGUUUUGCCUUAGUAUUCUGUUUUUCCUUAGUAUAUGCAUGCCUUUAAUUAUUAGAUCAAGCUUGAAUAUUAGAUUAAAAUAAUUAGGAUGCUCUAAGUCGUCCUUAGUCCAUUAGGUUUUUAAAAUUAGUUUGAGGUGUGCUAUAUUAGUCGAACAUAUAAUUUAUGGCCCCCAAAACUAAAUUUAGAAACCCUUUGGUUAGAGUAACUUGAGGCGUGCCAUGCCAAAUAAAUAACCGAAUGAUCGUAAUUUGCUUUUAGCCCGAUUUUGUUUAGCAUUGCGAUUAUAUAUAUGUUCGCAUAAUAUAAUUACAAAUUUAAUUCUAAAAAUAACUCGACGGAUGCGUUCACAACUUCAAACAAACUUUUCUUAAUAAAAUAGACAAAGCGUUAUUAAUUGUGGAAACGUAUGAUUUUUGACGCGCCAAAAAAAGAGUAUAUGCACGCGUAAAUUCUUUAAUUACGAAUAAUUAUACUGUGACUUCAUCCCUGCUCUAACUGCUAUAGAGUCCCUGCAUAUUCUCCUCUAACUCCUAUAUAACUCAUAUUUAUUUUCCUAUUUAAAGGAAAAAAAUGAUAGAUGAACAGAUUGCAGGUACUGCACAAACUAGUAUCUCUACCUGCUUUGUUUGCUAAGAUGUUUAGAGCUGUGCAGGAAGUAUUAAUUUCUGAGUGCAAUCAGAAACAGAAUGCUUUUUAAAGCAAUUAGUUUCAGGCUUCAUUUUAGAACUUCCUUCUACUCAUUUCUUGAACUUCCUUCAUUUGAGACAAGAUUACAUGACUUAAAACCUUUCUAAUAAAUGUUUAACUUGUUUCCAGCGAGACAACAAAGACUAGUGCUGCAAACAAAUGAAAAUGGAGACAACAAAGACUAGUGCUGCAAACUAAUGAAAAUGGAGACAACUAAUACUAUGUUAGAUACUUCUACGAUCAAAUAACUGCUGCUUUUAAAUCCAAAUAGAAAUAAUGAUACCGUACCCCUACCUCUAUUUAAAAAUUAAAAUGUUAGAGAAAUUUCUGUUUUUACAUUCAGGUGGAACUGUUUGGAGCUAGAGUUGUUUUAGUUUUGACUCCUAAUGUAUAUUAAAAUGGUGUAUUUGACAUGUAAUGUCACGAUCCGGAUUUCCUACCCUAGGGAGUCGUGAUGACACCUAUUAAUGAAAGCUAGACAAACCGAUUAUUUGAACCAAUUACCUUUAUCCCAUU
Molecule: long non-coding RNA, 3780 nt
Filed under: Nicotiana benthamiana
Lineage: Eukaryota; Viridiplantae; Streptophyta; Magnoliopsida; Solanales; Solanaceae
Description: long non-coding RNA (NBEN_LNC009703)
Source: RNAcentral